GGGGAAAGCCAGCUGCCAUCAGGUGGGGACGCUAGAGCAGCCCCAGGGAGCCCCGAUGUGGCAAGGAACUGAGAUCUUCUGCCAACACCCAGGACCAACUUGCCAUCCAUGAGAGUGGGCCAUCUCGAAAGUGGGAGAGUAUUGUCAGUGUUUCAGUCAGUGCUUGCUGCUGAGGCAGGAGAGAAUAAUUGUGUAAAGAGGGGCUCCCGCAGUGCAGGACAGGAAGCCACCAUGUGAGCACCACGUCCACGUGCAGGCCGCAGGCUUCAUUAUGUCCUGAAUACCAUGCCUCAGCAUUUCAUAUUUCAGGUUUCUACUUCUACAUCUCCAGCCCUGAAUACUCAUGGAAACUCACUGUACCUGUGACAGGUUGCAUGAGUUUUCCCCCUCUGUGGACUCAAUUUGUGUAUUAUUGUAUCAUAUGACAUUUUGAAUCAAGUGCUGCUAGUACCAAGCUGCUAUCAUCAGCUGAUGCCAAAAAUAUUCCUUAUAACACUUCUCAGCAUGCAAGUGAGAGCACUUCAAAUCACACAGACAGAAUUUCCAGCCAUUGUUCUUUUCUUUUUUGCUUAUUAUACAGCAAUAAGAAUCAAAACAAAAGGGGAUUUAUUAGAAAAUAAGGCUUCAGUAAAAUGUUAUAAAACAUGAGGUUUAUUGUUAGUGAAGAUUGAGUGAAAUUCAGUUCCACAUUGUAGAUACUGCCUCAGAGGCCUAUUUUCCCCUUCUUUUCUCUAUUCCCAGAUAUUUUUCAAGUGGAAUCUUUUUUUCAGUCUUUGAUUACAUUAAGGUGCAAACUAUUUAUCCAUCUGGAAAUAAGCAAUACUGUCAACAGAGAACCAGGAAAUGAAAAGUGCAGCUGGCCAUAUGCC
Molecule: long non-coding RNA, 869 nt
Organism: Mandrillus leucophaeus (drill)
Lineage: Eukaryota; Metazoa; Chordata; Mammalia; Primates; Cercopithecidae
Exons: 3
Source: RefSeq, a predicted model, not a curated record